UUAGGAAUAUUGGGCAAUGGAGGGAACUCUGACCCAGCAACGCCGCGUGAAGGAAGAAGGUUUUCGGACUGUAAACUUCUGAUCUGAGGGAAAAAGAAAGUGAUGGUACCUCAGGAGAAAGCCACGGCUAACUACGUGCCAGCAGCCGCGGUAAUACGUAGGUGGCGAGCGUUGUCCGGAAUGACUGGGCGUAAAGGGAGCGUAGGUGGCAAUUUAAGUUAGGUGUGAAAGCCCGUGGCUCAACCACGGAAGUGCAUCUAAAACUGGAUAGCUAGAGUACAGGAGGGGUAAGCGGAAUUCCUAGUGUAGCGGUGAAAUGCGUAGAUAUUAGGAAGAACACCGGAGGCGAAGGCGGCUUACUGGACUGCAACUGACACUGAAGCUCGAAAGCGUGGGGAGCAAACAGG
This 407-nucleotide ribosomal RNA is filed under the name uncultured bacterium. Its description in RNAcentral is "bacterial SSU rRNA". It matches the Rfam family "Bacterial small subunit ribosomal RNA", at positions 355 to 776 of the family's 1533-position model. The record is from RNAcentral.